RNAcentral lists this small nuclear RNA (146 nucleotides) under Klebsormidium nitens. RNAcentral's name for it is "U12 minor spliceosomal RNA". It matches the Rfam family "U12 minor spliceosomal RNA". Rfam says of the family: Although the U12 sequence is very divergent from that of U2, the two are functionally analogous. The record is from Rfam by way of RNAcentral. Lineage: Eukaryota; Viridiplantae; Streptophyta; Klebsormidiophyceae; Klebsormidiales; Klebsormidiaceae.
CUGCCUUAAACUAAUGAGCAAGGAAAAAACAAGCGACUGGUAGCACUGGUCGCGCGUCUUUCGUACGCAUGAAUUUUUGUUGGAUCAUAUAGGCUGGCCGGGAGCUGACACUGCCUACUUCGCAGGACUUUCCUGAGCAGGCCUCC